CUGGGCAGAGGGCAAAGUGACU
Molecule: microRNA, 22 nt
Filed under: Mus musculus (house mouse)
Lineage: Eukaryota; Metazoa; Chordata; Mammalia; Rodentia; Muridae
Description: mmu-miR-6998-5p
Source: miRBase by way of RNAcentral